UUGGAGGUGAUGCAUAAAAAACAACAUCUGAUUCUCAUUGAUGGUGUUUGUAUUCAUACUGUCUGAUCCAG
Small nucleolar RNA from Pungitius pungitius (ninespine stickleback), 71 nucleotides. Lineage: Eukaryota; Metazoa; Chordata; Actinopteri; Perciformes; Gasterosteidae. The record is from RefSeq and is a predicted model, not a curated record.